GACGAACGCUGGCGGCGUGCCUAAUACAUGCAAGUCGAACGCAGUGGGGACGGGUGCGUAACACGUGGGUAACCUCCCAUCAGACGGGAUAACCCUUGGCAACAGGUGCUAAACCGAUACUGAUGGAUGAACCCGCGGUGCAUUAGCUAGUUGGUGAGGUACCGGCUCACCAAGGCCACGAUGCAUAGCCGGUCGGAGAGGUUGACCAGCCACACUGGGACUGAGACACGGCCCAGACUCCUACGGGAGGCAGCAGUGGGGAAUCUUCCGCAAUGGACGAAAGUCUGACCGAGCAACGCCGCGUGAGUGAAGAAGGUUUUCGGAUCGUAAAACACUGUUGUUAGAGAAGCGGUAUCUAACCAGAAAGCCACGGCUAACUACGUGCCAGCAGCCGCGGUAAUAC
Molecule: ribosomal RNA, 403 nt
Filed under: uncultured bacterium
Lineage: Bacteria
Description: partial 16S ribosomal RNA
Rfam family: Bacterial small subunit ribosomal RNA
Source: RNAcentral